UAAUACGGAGGGUGCAAGCGUUAUCCGGAUUUAUUGGGUUUAAAGGGUCCGUAGGCGGAUCAUUAAGUCAGUGGUGAAAUCCGACAGCUCAACUGUCGAACUGCCAUUGAUACUGGUGAUCUUGAGUACGGUUGAAGUAGGCGGAAUAUGACAUGUAGCGGUGAAAUGCUUAGAUAUGUCAUGGAACACCGAUUGCGAAGGCAGCCUACUAAGCCGUUACUGACGCUGAGGGACGAAAGUGUGGGGAGCGAACAGGAUUAGAUACCCUGGUAGUCCACACCGUAAACGAUGAUUACUCGGUAUUGGCUUUAUUGUCAGUGCCCAAGCGAAAGUGAUAAGUAAUCCACCUGGGGAGUACGGCCGCAAGGUUG
Molecule: ribosomal RNA, 371 nt
Filed under: uncultured Bacteroidota bacterium
Lineage: Bacteria; Pseudomonadati; Bacteroidota
Description: bacterial SSU rRNA
Rfam family: Bacterial small subunit ribosomal RNA
Source: RNAcentral